This 486-nucleotide ribosomal RNA is filed under the name uncultured bacterium. RNAcentral describes it as "partial 16S ribosomal RNA". It matches the Rfam family "Bacterial small subunit ribosomal RNA", at positions 30 to 507 of the family's 1533-position model. The record is from RNAcentral.
AUUGAACGCUGGCGGCAUGCCUUACACAUGCAAGUCGAACGGCAGCACGGGUGCUUGCACCUGGUGGCGAGUGGCGAACGGGUGAGUAAUACAUCGGAACAUGUCCUGUAGUGGGGGAUAGCCCGGCGAAAGCCGGAUUAAUACCGCAUACGAUCUACGGAUGGAAGCGGGGGACCUUCGGGCCUCGCGCUAUAGGGUUGGCCGAUGGCUGAUUAGCUAGUUGGUGGGGUAAAGGCCUACCAAGGCGACGAUCAGUAGCUGGUCUGAGAGGACGACCAGCCACACUGGGACUGAGACACGGCCCAGACUCCUACGGGAGGCAGCAGUGGGGAAUUUUGGACAAUGGGCGAAAGCCUGAUCCAGCAAUGCCGCGUGUGUGAAGAAGGCCUUCGGGUUGUAAAGCACUUUUGUCCGGAAAGAAAUCCUUGGCCCUAAUACGGUCGGGGGAUGACGGUACCGGAAGAAUAAGCACCGGCUAACUACGUG